Non-coding RNA from Caenorhabditis elegans, 21 nucleotides. NCBI's taxonomy places the organism in Eukaryota, Metazoa, Nematoda, Chromadorea, Rhabditida, Rhabditidae. The record is from Ensembl.
UGUUGACUGCCUCUCUUGGAA